Molecule: ribosomal RNA, 305 nt
Filed under: uncultured bacterium
Lineage: Bacteria
Description: partial 16S ribosomal RNA
Rfam family: Bacterial small subunit ribosomal RNA
Source: RNAcentral
UUCCCUACGGGGGGCAGCAGUAGGGAAUAUUGCUCAAUGGGGGAAACCCUGAUGCAGCGACGCCGCGUGGGUGAAGGAGCGUUUCGGCGCGUAAAGCCCUAUCGGCAGGGAAGAAGGAGGACGGUACCUGACUAAGAAGCCCCGGCUAACUACGUGCCAGCAGCCGCGGGAAUACGUAGGGGGCAAGCGUUAUCCGGAUUUACUGGGUGUAAAGGGGGCGCAGACGGCAGCGCAAGCCAGGAGUGAAAGCCCGGGGCCCAACCCCGGGACGGCUCUUGGAACUGCGCGGCUGGAGGGCAGGGGGG